CUAAAAUUUUGAAAUAAUAUCUUAAAAAUGAUACGAAAACUGAAAAAUGAUUGAAGAGAAAAGCACAUAAAGAGAGAAAAGAAAUGUAAUAAUAUUUUAUCGUUGAAUAAGAAUUAUAUUGGAUGAUUUUUUUUUAGUUAUAACCCAUUUAUAUUAGGUAAAAAUAAAAAAAAAUUAUUAACCAACAUUGUUAUUAAUAAAAUAAAAAUUAUUAAACAAAAAUUGAAAAAAUAUUUGUAUAUAAUGGAGAUUUGGUAGCAGUAGGGUGGGAAGUAUAAAACUAAACCCACCCCGCUAAGAAUUUGGGGUUAUUGUUUCCCCAUUCCCCAAAAUUAUUCAAAAUCCACCUCAUUUUGGGUGGACUCCCAUGGGGCCCCAAACCCAUGAAGAAUUUUGUCAUCUCUAAUCUCAGAGCACCCUUUCACGUCUAGUGCUUCUUCUCCAAUUGGAUAGCCCACUGCCUGUUGUUGUGCCGUUUUCUCUACCGUUAGCAACAACUGGUAAGUUUUAAUUGUUAACUUGUUAUACAUUUAAGUUAUAAGUGGUCCUUUUGAAAAAUAAAAGAUAAAUUAAUGAACAAUGUAUUUAAUAUAAACUCUUAAUGUGAAAUUUCAAUAUAGUUAAAAGUUAUUUUGCAAUGUGUUAUAAUUUUGAAACUUAUUUUAUUUUAUUAUUUUAUUUUUUUAGCAAACUUCAGGGAGACAAUGAUGGGCGAAUGAAAGUUUUUUUUUAAUAAGUUGAUAACGAUUAAAGUUAUUCACCAUUCUCCUUUUAUUAUUUAUUUUUAUUGUGUGUUUUUUCGAUUACUUUACUGUGUGUUUGUUUGGUUGACAGUAAUUUAGGUUUAAAGAAUAAUUAGUUGAAAAUUUUAUUCCUAAUUCAGAUUGGGUGAGAGUAUAUGAAUUCAAAAACCCCUCUUAAUACCUAUUUACUUAUAAAAUAAUAUAUAUAUUUUUCACACACAUGCAUUUGUAACUUGACUUAAUGUUGUGCUUAAAUUCCAUUUUUCAGCAACAAGUUGCUACAAUAGGAAGCUUGGAUCAUAAUGUUCUUAUUUUGGAUCUAAAACAUAAUAAGACAAUGUUUACGAACAUAGGGUAUUGCAAGUGUCAUUUUCUAUGAAAUCAUUUAAAUUUCUUAAUUAAUCAUAAAUUGAUACUUUAACAAGUUUUGAUAUUGUGGGCAGUAUGGAGUGACAUGUUUGGCUUAAAUUGGAAAGUCUGAUCAAUUUCUAGCUAUGCAAUCCAAAGAUGGGAAGUUACAACUUUGGGAGCUCUUAGAGUGUAAUGGUCUUCCAUGUCUCUAGUGCCAUUUCUGACUUAUUUGUGUCUUGUGAUGAGAAUUUCUUGGUAGUUCUAUUAAUGAUACCAUUCACAUGUUUGAGAUUGUAAAUAAGUUUCUUUGAUCAAGUCGACCUUCAAUCAAUAUUUGAAACCGAAUGCAUGUAUUACUAUUUUCACUUUUUGUUUUAUAUACUACGAUAUGUACACAAUACAUAUUUUCAGAUAUCUCUUUCUUUGUUGUUCCAUACGACUCAUUAAAUUGUGUUUCAAUAUAAACACUAUUUCAUGGCUCUUAUGUAUACCAUUCUGAAUGAUCUGAGCCACGACUCCCAUAACUUAGACAUAUCUCAAUAGUAUAUAUUACAACAUUCCGUUACAGAAAUAAUAUAAAAGAGUCCAUGAUUUACAUUGAAUAAGAUCACCAAAAAAAUGUACUUUUUAAUGAUAUAUAGGUUAUAUGUUGGGAUCUUAAAAGAUGAAUACUUGAGGUGAGGCCAAGUGAACCUGUGUGGAAAAAAAAACUAAUAAUGAUAUAUGACCUAAAAAGAUGUUAAAUUGAAACAACCAAAUGUGGAAAAAAAAAACUAAUAAUGAUAUAUGACCUAAAAAGAUGUUAAAUUGAAACAACCAAAUAUGGACAAACUUACUAAAAGGGCUUCUAUAGUUGGCUUAUAAAUAUACAACACACAAAAAUAAAAACCAAGAAUUAUUAAAAGAAUUAUAAACUAAAAAAAAUAGGUGGGUUAGUGAGGAAAACGUUUUCUUUGAAUCUUUAUGCAACAUAAGCACAACAAGAAUCAUUGCUUCUGGAGAUAUAAGCAUCCUCGCUUUUUGUAAAGUCUAGUGGCAGUCGAUUUUUUUUUUCUAAAAAUUUUUUCAACCGCCUUGUAACCCUCGUGUAUGCCUCUCUACAUGAUUGAGUCAUAACUCCUACAACCUAAACAUAACCCAAAGAUAGUCUAUGUCAUGAUGUUUCGUUACAGAAACACUAUACUAUAAAGACAAUUGAUGAAAAUCAACAAACAAUCAGUAAUUCACAAAGUAAAUUAAUGAUGUUAAACUGAAACAAUCAAACAUGAAUGAACUCACUAAAAAGGUUUUUGUAGUUGGCAUAUAAUAUGUAACACACAAAAGUAGAAAAUCAAGAUUACUAAAAGAAUUAUAAACUAAACAAACAAUUAGGUGAGUAACGGUAAACCUUUUCUUUAGAUCUUUAUGCAAUAUAAGCGCAACAAGACUCAUUACUUUUAAAGAUAUGAGCUUCCUCGCAUCUUUGAAAGUCUUUGGCGGCAAAGAAUAGUUUUUGUUAUUGUCUCUCAAAAUGUUUCUCUACUGCUCAGAGUCAUUAUUACCUUCAUAGGAAUGUUGGCCACCAGAAAUGUAGUAAAAUUUGAAAUUUAACCAAACAAGACUAUAAAUAUCUCUAUUAUUGGCCUAAGAUCAAAUUCAGUUGAUUGCGAACCUCAUGUGCUACAAUAAAGAACAAAAAGUAAGUUGCCACAUAAUGCAUUUAUAACUAAGAAACUCUAAUAGUACAAAUUGCUUACCACCUCCCACGCCACAUUUCUUUAGGCGCAAGUAGUAUAUUAUUGGAUAUGAGAUACACACUUUUCAUCAUGUAUUACAUAAAUCCCAUCGAUCAUAUCCUACACAAUCAUGCCAAUUGAUAAUUAAUUUAUUUAAAGCUAUAGUCUUGUAACAACUCUAAAAAAAAUUAUAUUAUACUUAGUUUAUUAGUCUUCUUUAUUCAACAGAGAAGUCAUAGUCUUUAAACCUCUUGAACAGUAUGGACUACUUCAGUUUGUUUGGAUAUAAAAGCCAAAUAAUUUGCAAAGCUGCAGAUGUAGCGCUCCAUGAAUACUAACAAACUCCUUUUCUCUACUAGAACCACACGUGAAAAUUCCCUUAUACGUGGCUCACACAUGAUAAUUUAUUCGAAUUUGCAUAAACUAAACUAUUCCAUUUCUUUAUUUUCAUACUAAAGUAAUGAAUAAUGUAGUCAUAGUUUAUUUUCUUCAUAAUGUGAAGAUUUUACAUGUUUCAAUUAAUUUUUUUUUUGGAAAUUUCUUCACAGCCACCUCACGACCCUCAUGUACGCCUCUCUGCAUGACUGAACCAUGACUCCGACAACCCAAACAUAUCUAUGUGAUAAUAUACAUCACGACGUUCCAUUACAGAAACAUUAUAAUAAAAAGACAAUUGAUGAAAAUCAACAAACAAUCACUAAUUCACAAAAUAAAUCAAUAUAAGCAUUAAUUGGUCUAUGCUUUAUGCUGAAUAAGAUCACCCAAAAGCAUGUAUUCUUUAAUAGUCUAUAGGUCUACAUUUUGGUGAUCUUAAAAGAUAAACACUUGAGGUUGGUUAAAGUGAACUUGUUUAAUGCACAAGAAAAAUUUAUCUCAAGGGCAAUGAGGCACUAUAUAUCUUUCAUUAGAAAUUUUGUCAGGAUUUUAGAUUACAAAAUCCAUCAAGAUUUUAAAACAUGUUGUAAUGCACAAACAAUUAUGCAAGAUGUGAAGAUAAAACAGCUUGUCUUUGGAGGAUUAAUGAAGGAAAAUUCGGUCAUACCUUUCUUGGUAUGUAGUACAUAAAAAAAAUAUUAAUUGCAUAAUGCUUUGGCUUGAAUUGUUUACUCUUCUAUUUUUUAUGAUUAUUAGAUGUAAAUUUUUCUUAUUAAUUUCAUAUUUGUGUUCUUCUAGAAUUGAAAAUAAUAACACAUUAUUUCAUUUGAACUCUUGUUAUUUCUCUUCAGUCAACUGAUUGGAGUUUCUGCUUUGGCUUUUAAUAAAGACGGAUCUCUACUUGCUCAUGGUGGGUUUAACGGGUAUGUCUUCCACUGGAACUCUGCAAUUUAUGAAUUAAAAGGGAAAAUUUGGCUUAUUGGCGGGGACAUUGAGGUGAAACUAUUUGAUUUUUUUAGUGAUCAAAUUAUUCCUUUUAUUUUUUUGAACACUAAUCAUGGCCGUCUCUCAGUGUUAAGUUGGCACUCAACAAGUCAUGUAAUAUUAGGUGGCUUAGGAGAUUGUCGGGCUCACAUGCGAUACUGCAAGAGAGAUUUUUAACAUUUUUGUAGGUCAUAGUGGAAGAAUGACCUGUGUUGAUUUUAUGCCUGAUGGUAUUCAUAAGUCUAUCAUAUUUUCUACCACUUCUUUUAGGCUUCAACUACAUUUGUUUUAUUUAUAUAUUUUGUAACUUUAUAUUGACUGUUGUUUGUUUAAAGUAACAAAAUUUGUACCAAUUACAUUGUAAAAACAUUACCUACAAAGACAACUAAUGAAAACAAAAAAAUAAUAAUUAGCAAUUCACAAAAUAAAUCAAUAACAUAUUGAAUAAUUUUUAAAACUCUAAGGUUUAUACUGAAUAAGAUCAACCAAAAACAUGUAUUCUUUAAUGAUAUAUAGGCCUACAUUUUGGUGAACUUAAAAGAUGAACACUUAUGGUGAACCUAUGUUAAAAGAAAAAAACAAUAAUGAUAUAUGAUCUGAAAAGAUAUAAAACUAAAAUAACCAAAUGUGUACAAACUCAUUAAAAGGGCUUUUGCAGUUAGCCUACAAAUAUGCAACACAAAAAAAUAGAAAAUCAACAAUUACUAAAAGAAUGAUAAACUAAAGAAGCAAUUAGGUUAGUGAGGGAAAACUUUUUCUUUGGCUCAUUAUGCAAUAUAAAUGUAACAAGGCUCAUUACUUUUAGAGAUAUAAUCUUUUACUUCUUUGAAAGUCUCAAGUGGCAGAGAAAGAUUUUUGUUGUUGUCCCUUAAAAUGUUUCUCUACCACUCAGAAUCAUUAUUGUUUUCGUAGGGAUGUUGUCCACCAGAAAUGUAGUAAAAUUAAACACAAAAAUUUACCAUAAGUCUUCAAAACAAAAAAAAAUACAAAAAUUCGUGGGAGGGGUCAAACUUUGGGAACUAGAAUAA
This 5196-nucleotide long non-coding RNA is filed under the name Citrus x clementina. RNAcentral describes it as "Citrus clementina (C. clementina) long non-coding RNA (CCLE_LNC003285)". Lineage: Eukaryota; Viridiplantae; Streptophyta; Magnoliopsida; Sapindales; Rutaceae. The record is from RNAcentral.